This 253-nucleotide ribosomal RNA is filed under the name uncultured bacterium. RNAcentral's name for it is "partial 16S ribosomal RNA". It matches the Rfam family "Bacterial small subunit ribosomal RNA", at positions 524 to 776 of the family's 1533-position model. The record is from RNAcentral.
UACGAAGGGGGCUAGCGUUGCUCGGAAUCACUGGGCGUAAAGCGCGCGUAGGCGGAUUGUUAAGUCAGGGGUGAAAUCCUGGAGCUCAACUCCAGAACUGCCUUUGAUACUGGCGAUCUUGAGUCCGGGAGAGGUGAGUGGAACUCCGAGUGUAGAGGUGAAAUUCGUAGAUAUUCGCAAGAACACCAGUGGCGAAGGCGGCUCACUGGCCCGGUACUGACGCUGAGGUGCGAAAGCGUGGGGAGCAAACAGG